Molecule: ribosomal RNA, 259 nt
Filed under: uncultured bacterium
Lineage: Bacteria
Description: partial small subunit ribosomal RNA
Rfam family: Bacterial small subunit ribosomal RNA
Source: RNAcentral
AGGACGAACGCUGGCGGCGCGCCUAAAACAUGCAAGUCGAACGAGAAGCCCGGGCUUGCCCGGGUGGACAGUGGCGAACGGGUGAGUAACACGUGAGGAACCUGCCCCGAAGACCGGGACAACACCGGGAAACCGGGGCUAAUACCGGAUACGACCAUCGAGGGCAUCCUCUUUGGUGUAAAGGAUUCUGGCUAGGGAUGGGCCCGCGGCCUAUCAGCUUGUUGGUGGGGUAAUGGCCUACCAAGGCGACGACGGGUAG